CCCUGGGUUCUGGAAUGCUCACUGGGACAUCACUUCUGUCUUGCCUCAUAGGGAACAUUGGAAGAAUUGGCAGGGUUAGACAUCCUGUGGUCAGCUAGAAGUCAAGGAAUGGGUGGCGCUUACAGUAAUCAGUGCGUGGAUCACCACAUCCCUGCCGGUGGGUGAUCUCAUCUGACUAAAUCAGUGUCUUGGUAAGAGAUAUCUGCAGUCCUACAGUAUUAUUCAUGGAGGCAAGAGAUAAAAACAAUCUGUUUGUCCAUAACAGUGGGACUUCCAGAAGGCAGGAGAGAUAAGCCUGCAUGAAGAAGGAAAUUUCCACUUUAUUCCCCCAGAGGAAAGAGGAUUGGAAUAAUAAUUCCAGUUUCUCUGACUGAGGCUUAUCUAAUUGAAGAAUUAUAGAGAAGAAAUUGAGAUCACAAUAUUGGUUUUCAAAAUUCUAGUGGACAGUGUUAAAUUUCGGUGCCAAGACACUGAUAUUCUUUUGCUGUAAUACUGAGAUUAAAAAAAAAAAAAUAAACCAGGGGCGCCUGGGUGGCUCAGUGGGUUAACCCUCUGCAUUCGGCUCAGGUCAUGAUCUCAGAGUCCUGUGAUCAAGGCUGGCAUAGGCAAUGGGCUCUCUGCUCAGCAGGAAGCCUGCUUUCCCCUCCCCCUCUGCCUGCCUCUCUGCCUACUUGUGAUCUCUCUCUCUCUCUCUGUGUCAAAUAAAUGAAUAAAAUCUUUAAAAAAAAUAAACCAUCAACACCUUUAUAUACUUAUAUACUACACUUGAAGUGCUUAAGCAGAUGUAUUUCAUUGAUUAAAAAGCAUUCUUCUAUACUUCCAAAAAUCCUCAUAAACAAAAGCAACAAAAGUCAAUUGACAACACAAACUUCGUUGCAGACACAAUUCUUAUUCUAGUUCAUAGAUUUUCCAAACAAGUGGAAUAUAAACAUGACAAAAUUGAAAUUGAUACAGAUACUGAAGAAGAAAAAACCUGAAUACACUUUCUUUCAAAACAACAACAAACACUGUAACUUGUUCUUAAUGCAUUACUGAAAAAAAAAAAAAAAAAAAAAGAUUAAAGCUUUCAAAAAAGUCUCAAGUUUGCAAGCAAGAGGUAGAAUUAUUUAAAGGUGAAUGAGCCAGAGAAAAAUAUUUAGGGCUAGCUUAUAAAUAUUACUUCAUCAUUCCUCCCAAGUAGUUCAGAAGCAAAAAGAAUCUUAAUAUUUGGAAAUGUUUUCACAGAAAAUUACUGCAUGUAGUUGGUAUGAGAUCAUUGACAUGGGAUCAACCUUUUUUGUAGAUGACCAAAUAAUAUUUAAA
Molecule: long non-coding RNA, 1302 nt
Organism: Mustela lutreola (European mink)
Lineage: Eukaryota; Metazoa; Chordata; Mammalia; Carnivora; Mustelidae
Exons: 3
Source: RefSeq, a predicted model, not a curated record